UACGUACCGUCCAAACGUUAUUCGGAAUCACUGGGCUUAAAGAGUUCGUAGGCGGCUCAGAAAGUUGGGUGUGAAAUCCCUCGGCUCAACCGAGGAAUUGCGCUCAAAACUACUGGGCUAGAGGGAGAUAGAGGUGAGCGGAACUGAUGGUGGAGCGGUGAAAUGCGUUGAUAUCAUCAGGAACACCGGUGGCGAAGGCGGCCACCUGGACGGUAACUGACGCUGAGACGCGAAAGCGUGGGGAGCAAACAGG
This 253-nucleotide ribosomal RNA is filed under the name uncultured bacterium. Its description in RNAcentral is "partial 16S ribosomal RNA". It matches the Rfam family "Bacterial small subunit ribosomal RNA", at positions 524 to 776 of the family's 1533-position model. The record is from RNAcentral.